Small nuclear RNA from Suncus etruscus (white-toothed pygmy shrew), 108 nucleotides. The record is from RefSeq and is a predicted model, not a curated record. Lineage: Eukaryota; Metazoa; Chordata; Mammalia; Eulipotyphla; Soricidae.
GUGCUUGCUUCGGCAGCACAUAUACUAAAAUUGGAACUAUACAGAGAAGAUUAGCAUGGCCCCUGCACAAAGAUAACAUGCAAAAAAUCCCACCUGAGCAUGAUAUAC